This 254-nucleotide ribosomal RNA is filed under the name uncultured bacterium. RNAcentral describes it as "partial 16S ribosomal RNA". It matches the Rfam family "Bacterial small subunit ribosomal RNA", at positions 524 to 776 of the family's 1533-position model. The record is from RNAcentral.
UACGGAGGGUGCAAGCGUUGUUCGGAAUUACUGGGCGUAAAGCGCGCGUAGGCGGCUCUUUAAGUCUCACUGUGAAAGACCGGGGCUCAACCCCGUGCGAGCAGGGGAUACUGGAGGGCUAGAGACCGGUAGAGGCCAGCGGAAUUUCGGGUGUAGCGGUGGAAUGCGUAGAGAUCCGAAAGAACACCGGAGGCGAAGGCGGCUGGCUGGGCCGGGUCUGACGCUGAGGUGCGAAAGCGUGGGGAGCGAACAGG